Molecule: ribosomal RNA, 428 nt
Filed under: uncultured bacterium
Lineage: Bacteria
Description: partial 16S ribosomal RNA
Rfam family: Bacterial small subunit ribosomal RNA
Source: RNAcentral
GUGGGGAAUAUUGGGCAAUGGGCGCAAGCCUGACCCAGCAACGCCGCGUGAGGGAAGAAGGUUUUCGGAUUGUAAACCUCUGUCGCAGAUGACGAAGGAAGUGACGGUAAUCCGUGAGGAAGCCCCGGCUAACUACGUGCCAGCAGCCGCGGUAAUACGUAGGGGGCGAGCGUUGUCCGGAAUUACUGGGCGUAAAGGGAGCGUAGGCGGUCGAUUAAGUUGGAUGUGAAAUACCCGGGCUUAACUUGGGGGGUGCAUCCAAUACUGGUUGACUAGAGUACAGGAGAGGAAAGCGGAAUUCCUAGUGUAGCGGUGAAAUGCAUAGAUAUUAGGAGGAACAUCGGUGGCGAAGGCGGCUUUCUGGACUGACACUGACGCUGAGGCUCGAAAGCGUGGGGAGCAAACAGGAUUAGAUACCCGGGUAGUCC